This 314-nucleotide ribosomal RNA is filed under the name uncultured bacterium. RNAcentral describes it as "bacterial SSU rRNA". It matches the Rfam family "Bacterial small subunit ribosomal RNA", at positions 30 to 347 of the family's 1533-position model. The record is from RNAcentral.
AUUGAACGCUGGCGGCAUGCCUUACACAUGCAAGUCGAACGGCAGCGGGCCUUCGGGUGCCGGCGAGUGGCGAACGGGUGAGUAAUGCAUCGGAACGUGCCAUUGAGUGGGGGAUAACGUAGCGAAAGUUACGCUAAUACCGCAUAUUCUGUGAGCAGGAAAGCAGGGGACCGCAAGGCCUUGCGCUCUUUGAGCGGCCGAUGUCAGAUUAGCUAGUUGGUGAGGUAAAGGCUUACCAAAGGCGACGAUCUGUAGCGGGUCUGAGAGGAUGAUCCGCACACUGGAACUGAGACACGGUCCAGACUCCUACGGAG